RNAcentral lists this transfer RNA (73 nucleotides) under endosymbiont of Tevnia jerichonana (vent Tica). It matches the Rfam family "tRNA". From Rfam's summary of the family: Transfer RNA (tRNA) molecules are approximately 80 nucleotides in length. Their secondary structure includes four short double-helical elements and three loops (D, anti-codon, and T loops). The record is from Rfam by way of RNAcentral. Lineage: Bacteria; Pseudomonadati; Pseudomonadota; Gammaproteobacteria. RNAcentral also lists the same sequence under 1 other name.
GGGUCGUUAGCUCAGUUGGUAGAGCAUCUGACUUUUAAUCAGGUGGUCGCAGGUUCGAUCCCUGCACGACCCA